Aquila chrysaetos chrysaetos is the source of this 103-nucleotide long non-coding RNA. RefSeq lists it as uncharacterized. The record is from RefSeq and is a predicted model, not a curated record. Lineage: Eukaryota; Metazoa; Chordata; Aves; Accipitriformes; Accipitridae. The transcript is spliced from 3 exons.
UCACGCGUAAGCCAUUUGUUGAUUGGUUAGCAUGUGUCGUUCACGCGCCUAAACAAUAAUCUAAUUGGAUAAGUUCUGAUCACGCGAAUGAUGCCUUCUGCCC